GGACCCGCACAAGCGGUGGAGCAUGUGGUUUAAUUCGAAGAUACACGAAGAACCUUACCUGGCCUUGAUAUCCUAAGAAUCCUGUAGAGAUACGGGAGUGCUAGUUUACUAGAACUUAGAGACAGGUGCUGCACGGCUGUCGUCAGCUCGUGUCGUGAGAUGUUGGGUUAAGUCCCGCAACGAGCGCAACCCUCGUGUUUAGUUGCUAACAGUUCGGCUGAGCACUCUAAUCAGACUGCCUUCGCAAGGAGGAGGAAGGUGAGGACGACGUCAAGUCAUCAUGGCCCUUAUGGCCAGGGCUACACACGUGCUACAAUGGCUAGGACAAAGAGACGCGAUACUGCGAAGUGGAGCAAAUCUUAAAACCUAGUCUCAGUUCGGAUUGGAGUCUGCAACUCGACUCCAUGAAGCUGGAAUCGCUAGUAAUCGUAGAUCAGAUAUGCUACGGUGAAUACGUUCCCGGGUCUUGUACUCACCGCCCGUCACACCAUGGGAGUUGAAUUCACCCGAAGCCGGAAUACUAAACUAGUUACCGACCACGGUGGGUUCAGCGACUGGGGUGAAGUCGUAACAAGGUAACCGUAGGAGAACCUGCGGUU
This 599-nucleotide ribosomal RNA is filed under the name uncultured Sulfurospirillum sp. RNAcentral's name for it is "bacterial SSU rRNA". It matches the Rfam family "Bacterial small subunit ribosomal RNA", at positions 917 to 1519 of the family's 1533-position model. Lineage: Bacteria; Pseudomonadati; Campylobacterota; Epsilonproteobacteria; Campylobacterales; Sulfurospirillaceae. The record is from RNAcentral.